GACGAACGCUGGCGGCGUGCCUAAUACAUGCAAGUCGAGCGAAGUUUUUCUGGUGCUUGCACUAGAAAAACUUAGCGGCGAACGGGUGAGUAACACGUAAAGAACCUGCCUCAUAGACUGGGACAACUAUUGGAAACGAUAGCUAAUACCGGAUAACAGCAUUAACUGCAUGGUUGAUGUUUAAAAGUUGGUUUUGCUAACACUAUGAGAUGGCUUUGCGGUGCAUUAGCUAGUUGGUGGGGUAAAGGCCUACCAAGGCGACGAUGCAUAGCCGACCUGAGAGGGUGAUCGGCCACACUGGGACUGAGACACGGCCCAGACUCCUACGGGAGGCAGCAGUAGGGAAUCUUCCGCAAUGGGCGAAAGCCUGACGGAGCAACGCCGCGUGAGUGAAGAAGGAUUUCGGUCCGUAAAGCUCUGUUGUUAGGGAAGAAUGAUUGUGUAGUAACUAUACACAGUAGAGACGGUACCUAACCAGAAAGCCACGGCUAACUACGUG
Molecule: ribosomal RNA, 499 nt
Filed under: uncultured bacterium
Lineage: Bacteria
Description: partial 16S ribosomal RNA
Rfam family: Bacterial small subunit ribosomal RNA
Source: RNAcentral